CAGUAGCCGCGGUAAUACGAGGAGGGCAAGCGUUGUUCGGAAUUAUUGGGCGUAAAGGGUGCGUAGGCGGUUUGACAAGUCUUAUGUGAAAUCUUCGGGCUCAACCCGAAGCCUGCAUGGGAAACUGUCGAGCUUGAGUAUGGGAGAGGUGAGUGGAAUUUCCGGUGUAGCGGUGAUAUGCGUAGAUAUCGGAAGGAACACCUGUGGCGAAAGCGGCUCACUGGACCAUUACUGACGCUGAUGCACGAAAGCUAGGGGAGCAAACAGGAUUAGAGACCCCAGUAGUCCCUGUCUCUUAUAC
Molecule: ribosomal RNA, 301 nt
Filed under: uncultured bacterium
Lineage: Bacteria
Description: partial 16S ribosomal RNA
Rfam family: Bacterial small subunit ribosomal RNA
Source: RNAcentral